AUGUACCUCAGGUACCUCAUCCUCCCUGCCUUCCUGGGGCAGCCGCUGGGCACCAUGGGACAGACCACUGUCACCCAGCAAGAAGGAGAAAUCACAAUACAGGAAGGAGGCACCUUUCAGACCACAUGCAUGUACCAGGUUUCUAAUUUUGAAAGCCUGCAGUGGUACCAGCAGAGGAAAGGCCAAGCUCCUCAGCUGGUCUUGUUUCAGGCAGCAGCUGGCUCCAAGCACAGAGGCCGUCUCACCACCUUGCUGAAUACCACAGGGAAAUACAGCCUCCUGCAGCUGGAGGAGGUCGAGGGCUCUGACAGUGCCUUGUACCUCUGUGCUGUGGGUGACACCCUGGUGCAGGGAGCUUCCUUGGCUGUGCAACAACCCGGGGGAGGGAGGGGCUGUGUCUGUGCAAGGAUGAGCUGGGGGGAAGGGGCCCUCAGCUCUCCCCUGGCAGCUCUGCUUCUCCUUUGGCCCAGGUGA
This is a non-coding RNA of Calypte anna (Anna's hummingbird), 474 nucleotides long. The record is from the annotation of a RefSeq genome assembly. Lineage: Eukaryota; Metazoa; Chordata; Aves; Apodiformes; Trochilidae.